GGUUGGUCCAAGUACAGUGGUGUUUACAACUAAUUGAUCACAAUCAGUUACAGAUUCCUUUGUUCCUUCUCCAGUCCCACUGCUUCGCUUGACCAGCCUUUG
RNAcentral lists this Y RNA (102 nucleotides) under Prolemur simus (greater bamboo lemur). RNAcentral's name for it is "Y RNA (ENSPSMG00000004225.1)". It matches the Rfam family "Y RNA". Rfam says of the family: Y RNAs are components of the Ro ribonucleoprotein particle (Ro RNP), in association with Ro60 and La proteins. The Y RNAs and Ro60 and La proteins are well conserved, but the function of the Ro RNP is not known. Lineage: Eukaryota; Metazoa; Chordata; Mammalia; Primates; Lemuridae. The record is from Rfam by way of RNAcentral.